GAUGAACGCUGGCGGCGUGCCUAAUACAUGCAAGUCGAGCGAAUGGAUUAAGAGCUUGCUCCGGUGGAUUAGUGGCGAACGGGUGAGUAACACGUGAGUAACCUGCCCUUGACUCUGGGAUAACUGCGGGAAACUGUAGCUAAUACCGGAUACGACCCUCGGCGGCAUCGCCAGGGGGUGGAAAGAAUUUCGGUCAAGGAUGGACUUGCGGCCUAUCAGCUAGUUGGUGAGGUAACGGCUCACCAAGGCGACGACGGGUAGCCGGCCUGAGAGGGUGACCGGCCACACUGGGACUGAGACACGGCCCAGACUCCUACGGGAGGCAGCAGUGGGGAAUAUUGCACAAUGGGCGCAAGCCUGAUGCAGCAACGCCGCGUGAGGGAUGACGGCCUUCGGGUUGUAAACCUCUUUUAGUAGGGAAGAAGCGAAAGUGACGGUACCUGCAGAAAAAGCACCGGCUAACUACGUGCCAGCAGCCGCCGUAA
Molecule: ribosomal RNA, 485 nt
Filed under: uncultured bacterium
Lineage: Bacteria
Description: partial 16S ribosomal RNA
Rfam family: Bacterial small subunit ribosomal RNA
Source: RNAcentral